This 401-nucleotide ribosomal RNA is filed under the name uncultured bacterium. Its description in RNAcentral is "partial 16S ribosomal RNA". It matches the Rfam family "Bacterial small subunit ribosomal RNA", at positions 359 to 776 of the family's 1533-position model. The record is from RNAcentral.
AAAUUUGGACAAUGGGGGAAAGCCUGACGCAGCAAUUCCGCGUGGGGGACUAAGGCCCUAGGGUUGUAAACCCCUUUUGCGAGGGAAGAAGUUCUGACGGUACCUCGCGAAUAAGCCACGGCUAACUACGUGCCAGCAGCCGCGGCAAUACGUAGGUGGCGAGCGUUGUCCGGAUUUACUGGGCGUAAAGAGCCCGCAGGCGGCUCGGCAAGUUUCAGGUGAAAUCUCCCGGCUCAACUGGGAGGGGUCCUGGAAAACUGCUGGGCUAGAGGCAGGGAGAGGGAUGUGGAAUUCCCGGUGUAGUGGUGAAAUGCGUAGAUAUCGGGAGGAACACCAGUGGCGAAGGCGGCAUCCUGGCCCUGUCCUGACGCUGAGGGGCGAAAGCGUGGGGAGCAAACCGG